Pelobates cultripes (western spadefoot toad) is the source of this 219-nucleotide non-coding RNA. NCBI's taxonomy places the organism in Eukaryota, Metazoa, Chordata, Amphibia, Anura, Pelobatidae. The record is from the annotation of a GenBank genome assembly.
CCUGGCUGUUCUUAUACUAUUUUGUCUCUCCAUGUGCUGUUGUUUUGAGAAAGGAAAACUCCAUAACCACACAUACUACUUUACUAAUUUAUGGUACCAAGACUGCUAUGGUCGCAUCCUAUAUAAAGUAGUCCAUCCAUUUUAAGAAUAGGUUCUCACCAGAUGCCUGCUGGUAGAAUCUCUUGUCACUGAGCUAAACCUGGCUGUGAAGGACUAUAA